Molecule: ribosomal RNA, 357 nt
Filed under: Triticum aestivum (bread wheat)
Lineage: Eukaryota; Viridiplantae; Streptophyta; Magnoliopsida; Poales; Poaceae
Description: partial small subunit ribosomal RNA
Source: RNAcentral
AUGAAGGAGGACGGGUCUCCUUUUGAUCAGGAUGACUUCAUAGCCUGCGUCCGUGAAGUCCGGCCUCAGGCGACUGGUCUUGGAGAUGACACCAAUGUGGACAAGUACCAGCCGGGUUUUGAUAGUGAGAAUAAGAAGAUGGCCCCUCCCUCAUAUAAAGGAACAUACUUGAUCCCACCAGUGAGAGAAGAUACAUUUGCCCCAGAGGUUGACCCGGUCGGCUUAAUUGACGACGAAGCCAAAUUUGUCGCCAUGAACGGCUUUGAUUGGUCAAAACCCAACUUCCAGCAGACUCAAGAUGGUGAACCGGCGAGGGAGGGACAAUGCUCAUCUUCAUGGGUUUAUAAAGCCUUGUAA